RNAcentral lists this ribosomal RNA (471 nucleotides) under uncultured bacterium. RNAcentral's name for it is "SSU rRNA". It matches the Rfam family "Bacterial small subunit ribosomal RNA", at positions 26 to 518 of the family's 1533-position model. The record is from RNAcentral.
AGGACGAACGCUGGCGGCGUGCUUAACACAUGCAAGUCGAGCGGAAAGGCCCUUCGGGGUACUCGAGCGGCGAACGGGUGAGUAACACGUGAGUAAUCUGCCUUCAGCUCUGGGAUAGCUCCGGGAAACCGGGAUUAAUACCGGAUAUGACCACUUCGGACAUCUGUUGUGGUGGAAAGUUUUUCGGCUGGAGAUGAGCUCGCGGCCUAUCAGCUUGUUGGUGGGGUAAAGGCCUACCAAGGCGACGACGGGUAGCCGGCCUGAGAGGGCGACCGGCCACACUGGGACUGAGACACGGCCCAGACUCCUACGGGAGGCAGCAGUGGGGAAUAUUGCGCAAUGGGCGGAAGCCUGACGCAGCGACGCCGCGUGGGGGAUGAAGGCCUUCGGUUGUAAACCCCUUUCAGCAGGGACGAAGCGCAAGUGACGGUACCUGCAGAGAGCGCCGGCUAACUACGUGCCAGCAGCCGC